Cyprinus carpio carpio is the source of this 1034-nucleotide long non-coding RNA. The record is from Ensembl. NCBI's taxonomy places the organism in Eukaryota, Metazoa, Chordata, Actinopteri, Cypriniformes, Cyprinidae.
CCGAUGCCGAGGUCGUUCCCGAGGCGGUGUCCUUGUCCGAUGCCAUUCCCGAGGCCGUUCCUGAGGCCAUUCCCGAGGCGGUGCCCGAUGCCGAGGUCGUUCCCGAGGCGGUGUCCUUGUCCGAUGCCGUUCCUGAGACCGUUCCCGAGGCGGUGCCCGAUGCCGAGGUCGUUCCCGAGGCGGUGUCCUUGUCCGAUGCCGUUCCUGAGGCCAUUCCCGAGGCGGUGCCCGAUGCCGAGGUCGUUCCCGAGGCGGUGUCCUUGUCCGAUGCCAUUCCCGAGGCCGUUCCUGAGACCGUUCCCGAGGCGGUGCCCGAUGCCGAGGUCGUUCCCGAGGCGGUGUCCUUGUCCGAUGCCAUUCCCGAGGCCGUUCCUGAGGCCAUUCCCGAGGCGGUGCCCGAUGCCGAGGUCGUUCCCGAGGCGGUGUCCUUGUCCGAUGCCGUUCCCGAGGCCAUUCCCGAGGCGGUGCCCGAUGCCGAGGUCGUUCCCGAGGCGGUGUCCUUGUCCGAUGCCGUUCCUGAGGCCAUUCCCGAGGCGGUGCCCGAUGCUGUUCCGGAGGCCGAUGCGCGGCCCGAGAUGGUUCCGGAGGCGAUACCCGUGUCCAAGGCCGUUCCCGAGGCGGUGCCCUUGUCUGAGGCCGUUCCCGAUGCCGUUCCCAAUGCCGUGACCGGGCCAUCGCCACAGCCUGCUCCUUACUGGCUCCCCGAUUGGCUGGUUCCGUUCGGGUCACUCAAAUGGCGAAUUCCUCCCUGGCCGUCUGCACAACGAGAAUGGACUGAUCCACCGUGGCCACCUGAACUGCCUGGCCCCUCGUGGUCCCCUGAACUUUCGGGUCCACCGUGGCCACCUGAACUGCCUGGUCCCUCGUGGUCCCCUGAACUUUCGGGCCCACCAUGGCCCCCUGAUCUGACCGAGCCACCUGGGCUACCAGGGGAGCCAUCGCUGCCGGUCCCAGUUCCCCUACACGGGCCUGGCCCGCCAUCCCUCCCCCUGUUCUGCCUCCACCAGUCCACCUCCCUCCUGGUCUCUUUGUUU